AGCAGCCGCGGUAAUUCCAGCUCCAAUAGCGUAUAUUAAAGUUGUUGCAGUUAAAAAGCUCGUAGUUGAAUUUCGGGAUCAAUAUGUUGGUCGUGCCUCGGUACGUACUAGCAUAUUGGUUUCUCCUUUCUGAAGAACCAUGAUGUCAUUUAUUUGGUGUCGUGGGGAAUCAGGACUGUUACUUUGAAAAAAUUAGAGUGUUUAAAGCAGGCUCACGCUUGAAUACAUUAGCAUGGAAUAAUGAAAUAGGACGUUUGAUUCUAUUUUGUUGGUUUCUAGGAUCGACGUAAUGAUUAAUAGGGAUAGUUGGGGGCAUUAGUAUUCAAUUGUCAGAGGUGAAAUUCUUGGAUUUAUUGAAGACUAACUACUGCGAAAGCAUUUGCCAAGGAUGUUUUCAUUAAUCAAGAACGAAAGUUAGGGGGAUCGAAGACGAUCAGAUACCGUCGUAGUCUUAACCAUAAACUAUGCCGACUAGGGAU
RNAcentral lists this ribosomal RNA (479 nucleotides) under uncultured Glomus. RNAcentral describes it as "SSU rRNA". It matches the Rfam family "Eukaryotic small subunit ribosomal RNA", at positions 569 to 1053 of the family's 1831-position model. Lineage: Eukaryota; Fungi; Glomeromycota; Glomeromycetes; Glomerales; Glomeraceae. The record is from RNAcentral.